GAUGAACGCUGGCGGCGUGCCUAAUACAUGCAAGUCGAGCGAACAGACGAUGAGCUUGCUCCUCUGACGUUAGCGGCGGACGGGUGAGUAACACGUGGAUACCCUACCUAUAAGACUGGGAUAACUUCGGGACACCGGAGCUAAUACCGGAGAAUAUAUUGAAGCGCAUGGUUCAAUAGUGAAAUACGGUUUUUCUGUCACUUCUAGCUGGAUCCCCGCCGCUUUAGCUGGUUGGUAAGUUAACAGCUUACCACGGCAACGAUGCGUAGCCGACGUGAGCGGGGGAUCGGCCACACUGGAACGGGGACACGGUCAAUACGCCUACGGGAGGCAGCAGAAGGGAACCUGCGGCAAUGGGGGAAAGCCUGACGGAGCAACGGCGCGUGAGAGAUAAAGGUCUUGGGAUCGUAAAACCCUGUUAUUAGGGAAGAACAACUGUGUAAGUAAAUGUGCACGUAUUGACGGUAACUAAUCAGAAAGCCACGGCUAACUACGUG
This 497-nucleotide ribosomal RNA is filed under the name uncultured bacterium. Its description in RNAcentral is "partial 16S ribosomal RNA". It matches the Rfam family "Bacterial small subunit ribosomal RNA", at positions 28 to 507 of the family's 1533-position model. The record is from RNAcentral.